Molecule: long non-coding RNA, 309 nt
Organism: Dama dama (fallow deer)
Lineage: Eukaryota; Metazoa; Chordata; Mammalia; Artiodactyla; Cervidae
Exons: 3
Source: RefSeq, a predicted model, not a curated record
GCAGCCCCGACUCGCCACAACCAGAGAAAAGUCCUUGCAGCAACGAAGUCCCAGCACAGGCAAAAGAAAUAAAAUUUUAUAAAAGGAUGCUGUCAAAUCUCUGAGGGCACAGAGAACAGACCUUUGUUGAAGGCUGAACUUUGCUGCACCAGCACGAAGUGAAAACUUGAGAAUCGGUUCUGCAGCUUCCAUUAGAAGAAAAGAAUUGUCAAUUACCCAUAAUUAAUAUUUACUGAGGACUCACAGGGGUUGUAGCAGAUGUCAGUUCUGGGAUUUGGUUUUGCCCUACUUAGAAGCUGUCAUUUCGUG